Molecule: ribosomal RNA, 253 nt
Filed under: Segatella copri DSM 18205
Lineage: Bacteria; Pseudomonadati; Bacteroidota; Bacteroidia; Bacteroidales; Prevotellaceae
Description: Prevotella copri DSM 18205 partial 16S ribosomal RNA
Rfam family: Bacterial small subunit ribosomal RNA
Source: RNAcentral
UACGGAAGGUCCGGGCGUUAUCCGGAUUUAUUGGGUUUAAAGGGAGCGUAGGCCGGAGAUUAAGCGUGUUGUGAAAUGUAGAUGCUCAACAUCUGCACUGCAGCGCGAACUGGUUUCCUUGAGUACGCACAAAGUGGGCGGAAUUCGUGGUGUAGCGGUGAAAUGCUUAGAUAUCACGAAGAACUCCGAUUGCGAAGGCAGCUCACUGGAGCGCAACUGACGCUGAAGUUCGAAAGUGCGGGUAUCGAACAGG